AGUCAACGCUGGCGGUAGGCCUAACACAUACAAGUCGAACGGCAGCACAGUAAGAGCUUGCUCUUACGGGUGGCGAGUGGCGGACGGGUGAGGAAUACAUCGGAAUCUACUUUUUCGUGGGGGAUAACGUAGGGAAACUUACGCUAAUACCGCAUACGACCUACGGGUGAAAGCAGGGGAUCUUCGGACCUUGCGCGAUUGAAUGAGCCGAUGUCGGAUUAGCUAGUUGGCGGGGUAAAGGCCCACCAAGGCGACGAUCCGUAGCUGGUCUGAGAGGAUGAUCAGCCACACUGGAACUGAGACACGGUCCAGACUCCUACGGGAGGCAGCAGUGGGGAAUAUUGGACAAUGGGCGCAAGCCUGAUCCAGCCAUACCGCGUGGGUGAAGAAGGCCUUCGGGUUGUAAAGCCCUUUUGUUGGGAAAGAAAAGCAGCAGGUUAAUACCCCGCUGUUCUGACGGUACCCAAAGAAUAAGCACCGGCUAACUUCGUG
Molecule: ribosomal RNA, 492 nt
Filed under: uncultured bacterium
Lineage: Bacteria
Description: partial 16S ribosomal RNA
Rfam family: Bacterial small subunit ribosomal RNA
Source: RNAcentral